This 843-nucleotide ribosomal RNA is filed under the name uncultured bacterium. Its description in RNAcentral is "bacterial SSU rRNA". It matches the Rfam family "Bacterial small subunit ribosomal RNA", at positions 8 to 887 of the family's 1533-position model. The record is from RNAcentral.
AGAGUUUGAUCCUGGCUCAGGAUCAACGCUGGCGGCGCGCCUAACACAUGCAAGUCGAACGAGAAAGCCGCAAGGCAAGUAAAGUGGCGUACGGGUGAGUAACACGUGGAUGAUCUGCCUUUUAGUGGGGAAUACCGUUGGGAAACCGACGACAAUACCGCAUAAUCCCGAGGGGGGGGAGGCGCAAGGCGCUGAAAGAGGAGUCCGCGGUCGAUUAGGUAGUUGGCAGGGUAAAAGCCUACCAAGCCUGUGAUCGAUAGCCGGCCUGAGAGGGCACACGGCCACACUGGCACUGAAACACGGGCCAGACUCCUACGGGAGGCAGCAGUGGGGAAUCUUGCACAAUGGGGGAAACCCUGAUGCAGCGACGCCGCGUGAGCGAUGAAGGGGCUUGGGGUGUAAAGCUCUUUCGUCGGGGAAGAUAAUGACGGUACCCGGAGAAGCAGCUGCGGCUAACUACGUGCCAGCAGCCGCGGUAAUACGUAGGCAGCAAGCGUUGUUCGGAGUUACUGGGGCGUAAAGGGGUGCGUAGGCGGCUAUUUAAGUUUGGUGUGAAAUCUCCCGGCUCAACCGGGAGGGUGCGCCGAAUACUGAGUGGCUAGAGUGGCGGAGAGAAAGUGGAAUUCCUGGUGUAGCGGUGAAAUGCGUAGAUAUCAGGAGGAACAGCGGUGGGUGUAAACGGCUUUCUGGACCGUAACUGACGCUGAGGCACGAAAGGUGGGGUAGCAAACAGGAUUAGAUACCCUGGUAGUCCACGCCUAACGAUGCAUAUUUGGGUGUGGGCCAUUCAUUUGUGCUGGGCGGGAGCUAACGCGUUAAUAUGGCUGCCUGGGGAGUACAGUC